CUUCAUUCUCUUGUAACAAUGCAGGUCGAGAGGUACCUCCUUAGGCGUCUGAGCUUCUGAAGCGAAGUGGUUGUCAGGUUAAUUUUUGGAUUGUAUAUUUAUACAUAUACAUGUACUUAGUUUUCUCUCUGCAUAACUUGUUCUUUUUUAUCCUCUUAGAGGCUUAUGGAGAGACAGGAUUUUGUUUAUGUAAUUUUGGGUUUUGG
Arachis ipaensis is the source of this 206-nucleotide non-coding RNA. The record is from RefSeq and is a predicted model, not a curated record. NCBI's taxonomy places the organism in Eukaryota, Viridiplantae, Streptophyta, Magnoliopsida, Fabales, Fabaceae.